Molecule: ribosomal RNA, 253 nt
Filed under: uncultured bacterium
Lineage: Bacteria
Description: partial 16S ribosomal RNA
Rfam family: Bacterial small subunit ribosomal RNA
Source: RNAcentral
UACGAAGGGGGCUAGCGUUGCUCGGAAUCACUGGGCGUAAAGCGCACGUAGGCGGAUCGUUAAGUCAGAGGUGAAAUCCUGGAGCUCAACUCCAGAACUGCCUUUGAUACUGGCGAUCUUGAGUUCGAGAGAGGUGAGUGGAACUGCGAGUGUAGAGGUGAAAUUCGUAGAUAUUCGCAAGAACACCAGUGGCGAAGGCGGCUCACUGGCUCGAUACUGACGCUGAGGUGCGAAAGCGUGGGGAGCAAACAGG